Brienomyrus brachyistius is the source of this 1928-nucleotide long non-coding RNA. RefSeq lists it as uncharacterized. NCBI's taxonomy places the organism in Eukaryota, Metazoa, Chordata, Actinopteri, Osteoglossiformes, Mormyridae. The transcript is spliced from 2 exons. The record is from RefSeq and is a predicted model, not a curated record.
AGAGGCGUUUGCAGGCUACUGUGUUAUCUGUUGACGGGCACGUAUGGGGGAAUUAAUGCACAACAGACAUAUUAUUACAUGGCAUCUCUGCAUUGGGAAUUCCUGAUUCAGUUAAUAAUUACGAUAAUAAUCCUUGCCACCCACAGUAAUAUCCUGUAUUUAUUAAGUACUAAUCAGCCAGUUUGCUUCCUGGAAGAGAAAAACUGUGACAGACCAGCCAGGAGCAAUGCGGGCAAAGCGGGCUCAACCUCAAGGAUUCCAUUUGAAGAGGUGGACUGAGGACGCCAUAUCUGCUGCAUUUCACCUCUCCCUAUCUCACCUAGACGAGGGAGACACUUACAUUAGAAUACUGUUCAUGGACUCGGCAGUCAACACCAUCAUCCCCAAAGUCUGUACAUGAAACUGAGCGAGCUGGGACUGAACACCUCUCUCUGCAACUGGAUACUGGACUUUCUGUCAGAGAGGCCUCAGUCCGUCUGUAUCUGCGACAACAUUUCCAGCCCCAUCAGACUGAGCACAGGAGUCUUCAGGGCUGCGUUCUCAGUCCACUAUUGCUCCCACUGUUGACCCACAACUGCACUGCUACACACAGCUAUGACCACAUCAUCAAGUUUGCAGAAGACACGACUAUGGUGGGGAUCAUCAGCCACAACGAUGAGUCAGCAUACAAAGAUGAGGUUCAUCAACUGGCUGUCUGGUGCAGUGAGAACAACCUGUCACUGAACGUGGACAAAAUUGCUUCAGGCAAUCCUGCUCCACCCACAUCCAUACACCACUCAGCAUCAACGGCUCCACGAUGGACACUGUUAAGAAGGCCUUGUUUCUGGGAAACGUUUUCUCCAUCACCAAGAAGGCUCAGCAGUGUCUUCACUUCCUAAGGCGACUGAAGUGGGCCAGCCCCCCCCCCCAGUCCUCACUGUGUUCUACAGGGGCACCAUAGAGAGCGUCCUGACCAGCUGCAUCUCCGUUUGGUUCGGCAAUGCCAGCCUGCAAAUUGUAAAUGCAUCUGGGAACAUCACUGGCGCAUCUCUCCCCUCGCUGCAGGAGAUCUUCCGGAAACACUGCAUCAGGAAGGCUUCCUGCAUUAUGCUUGACUCCUCACACCACUCACACGAACUGCUCACACUGUUCCCAUCUGGCAGACGCUAUUGCAGCAUCAGGGAGCAAUCCACCUGACUGCGCGACAGCUUAUUCCCACACGUAGCAUCAGCAUACAAAGUACAUUCUGCGAUUGUGACUGCAGUUUUCUCUACUUAACUGAUGCAAUAUUCGCACAUUAUUGAACAUUGUUUGCAUAUAUCUUUGUUGUUUUCUGUUACAUAAUUGCACAUAUUAUUGGACUACUCACAAUGAAAUGAAAUACCCCCUGUCAAUUGUGUGUGUGUGGUAGCACUUAUGUAUGUGGUAGAACUUAUCUCAGAAUUGGAUUUUUUCCUCAUUCAAUGUAGAAUUGCGUAAAUAUUUUAUACUUAUUUAGAAUAAGUUUGAAGUUAUUACAGUGAAAGUGUUUUUCUUCUUUGGUCUGCUUAAAAGUUAUAUGGUUGUUUAGUUGCUUGAUAACAGUAAUUGCUAGAAGAAUAGUCAUCAGCUAUAUAUUCUAUUCUAUAUAUUUUCCAAUGCAUACUUAUUUUUCAGAUGAAAAGCCUGCCAGCCUCACUAUGUUAUUGGGUGUUAUACUAGUGGGGGGUGGGGGAGCAUUUGUGAUCAGGUGACUCAAAUGCUUGAUAUUUGCUGAUUAUAAACUACCCAGCUGUUAUCUUGAAACAGCACCGUGGUGGUAUGUGUGGACCACUAGAUUAAAAAAAAAAAACACUCCUGUUGCGUGUUAAGCUAUAUCCCUUUGUAGCAUCACAACUUUAGGUGCCUGUUAAGCUCCACCCAUAUUGCCUGGUAUUCUCUGUCAUAAUAAUAAUUGAUACUUUUAUUGA